AUCACUGUAAUCAAAGAGUACCCGUGAUCCUAUCUCUGCUGCUCUAUUAUAUCUGCCACUGCCACCAUCUGCAGCUUCUAGCUAAUACCUAUCCUAUCCACAUAUAUAUAUAUAUAUGCAUUGACGACAACAAGAAGAAACACGACACACACAGGCUGCAGAGAAGAAAGAAAGAGUGAGCAGUGACCACAGAAACAGA
This 199-nucleotide long non-coding RNA is filed under the name Ricinus communis (castor bean). Its description in RNAcentral is "long non-coding RNA (RCOM_LNC002919)". Lineage: Eukaryota; Viridiplantae; Streptophyta; Magnoliopsida; Malpighiales; Euphorbiaceae. The record is from RNAcentral.